CAUGGUCUUUUGAGUUUGAUUUAAGAUUUGACCUGCCCACUGAGGAUUUAAAUGGCCGCGGUAAUUUGACCGUGCGAAGGUAGCAUAAUCAAUAGUUUUUUAAUUGAAAGCUGGAAUGAAUGGUUGGACGAGAAAACUACUGUCUCAAAUUUAUUUUUUUUGAAUUUUAUUUUUGAGUCAAAAAGCUUAAAUUUUGUUAAAAGACGAGAAGACCCUAUAGAGUUUAAUUUAUUUAUUUUAAAUGAUUUAAAGAAUUAGUUUUAAAAUUAAUAAAUUUUGCUGGGGUGGUAUUAAGAUUCAAUUAACUCUUAAAUUUUUAUUUUCAAUAAUUAUUGUAUAUAUUAUGAUCCAAUUUUUUUGAUUAUUAGAUUAAAUUACCUUAGGGAUAACAGCGUUAUUUUUCUUGAGAGUUCUUAUCGAAAGAAAAGAUUGCGACCUCGAUGUUGGAUUAAAAUAAACUUUUGGCGCAAGAGUUAAAAAGGGUGAGUCUGUUCGACUUUUAAAAUUUUACAUGAUCUGAGU
Molecule: ribosomal RNA, 522 nt
Filed under: Heterocerus sp. IR-2002
Lineage: Eukaryota; Metazoa; Arthropoda; Insecta; Coleoptera; Heteroceridae
Also listed under: 1 other name
Description: partial 16S ribosomal RNA
Rfam family: Bacterial large subunit ribosomal RNA
Source: RNAcentral